This 1472-nucleotide ribosomal RNA is filed under the name uncultured Bordetella sp. Its description in RNAcentral is "partial 16S-23S ribosomal RNA intergenic spacer". It matches the Rfam family "Bacterial small subunit ribosomal RNA". Lineage: Bacteria; Pseudomonadati; Pseudomonadota; Betaproteobacteria; Burkholderiales; Alcaligenaceae. The record is from RNAcentral.
AGUUUGAUUCUGGCUCAGAUUGAAUGCUGGCGGGAUGCUUUACACAUGCAAGUCGAACGCGGCAGCAUCGGACUUCUCGUCUGGUGGCGAGUGGCGUGAACGGGUGAGUAAUGUAUCGGAACGUGCUCAGUAGCGGGAUAACUACGCGAAAGCGUAGCUAAUACCGUGCAUACGCCCUUCGGGGAAAGCGACCUUUCGGGCCUCGCACUAUUAGAGCGGCCGAUAUCGGAUUAGCUAGUUGGUGGGGUAACGGCCACCAAGGCGACGAUCCGUAGCUGGUUUGAGAGGACGACCAGCCACACUGGGACCGAGACACGCUCCAGACCUACGGAGGCAGCAGUGGGGAAAUUUUGGACAAUGGGGAAACCCUGAUCCAGCCAUCCUGCGUGUGCGAUGAAGGCCUUCGGGUUGUGCCACUUUGGCGAAGAAACGGCACGAUAAUACCCCGUGCAACUGACGGUACCUGCAGAAUAAGCACCGGCUAACUACGUGCCAGCAGCCGCGGUAAUACGUAGGGUGCAAGCGUUAAUCGGAAUUACUGGGCGCAAAGCGUGCGCAGGCGGUUCGGAAAAGAAAGAUGUGAAAUCCAGAGCUAACUUCUUCGAACCGCAUUUAACUACCGAGCUUAGAGGUAUUGUGAGGGAGGUGGAAUUCUGCGUAGCAGUGAAUGCAGAUAUGCGGAGGAACACCGAUGGCGAAGGCAGCCCGGACAACACUGACGCUCAUGCACGAAAGCGUGGGGAGCAAACAGGAUUAGAUACCCUCCUGGUAGUCCACGCCCUAAACGAUGUCAACUAGCUGUUGGGGCCUUCGGCCUUGGUAUGCAGCUAACGCGUGAAGUUGACCGCCUGGGGAGUACGGUCGCAAGAGAUUUAAACCUGUAUGAACUGACGGGGACCCGCACAAGCGGUGGAUGAUGUGGAUUAAUCUGAUGCAACGCGAAAAACCUUUACCUACCCUUGACAUGUCUGGAAUCCCGAAGAGAUUUGGGAGUGCUCGCAAGAGAACCGGAACACAGGUGCUGCAUGGUUGCCGUCAGCUCGUGUCGUGGAGACGUUGCCAGUCCCGCAACGAGCGCAACCCUUGUCAUUAGUUGCUACGAAAGGCACUCGACGAGACUGCUUGGUGACAAACCGGAGGAAGGUGAUGACGUCAAGUCCUCAUGGCCCUUAUGGGUAGGGCUUCACACGUCGCGCAUACUGGUCGGGACAGAGGCCGCUGCUGAGGGUGGGGAGCUAAUCCUGCGAAACCCCGAUCGUAACUGGAUCGCAAGCCUGCAACUCGACUGCGUGAAGUUUCGGAAUCGCUAGUAACUGCAAAGACUGCGCAAGUGUCGCGGUGAAUACGUUCCCGGCUCCGUAUACACCGCCCGUCACACCAUGGGAGUGGGUUUUACCAGAAGCGUUAGCCUAACCGUAAGGAGGGCGGAUACUACGGUAGGAUUCAUGAUCAGUGAAGUCGUAACAAGUGUA